Molecule: unclassified non-coding RNA, 232 nt
Organism: Callithrix jacchus (white-tufted-ear marmoset)
Lineage: Eukaryota; Metazoa; Chordata; Mammalia; Primates; Cebidae
Rfam family: Metazoan signal recognition particle RNA
About the family: The signal recognition particle (SRP) is a universally conserved ribonucleoprotein. It is involved in the co-translational targeting of proteins to membranes.
Source: Ensembl
GCUGGGCUUGGUAGUGGAUGUGGCACAUGCCUGUAAUCCCAGCUACUCAUGAGGCUGAGGCAGGAGAAUUGCUUGAACCUGGGAGGCUGAGGUUGCAGUGAGCCGAGAUGGUGCCACUGCACUCCAGCGAGACUCUGUCUCAAUCGCACUGUCGCCAGGCUGGAGUGCAGUGGCACCAUCUCGGCUCACUGCAACCUCAGCCUCCCAGGUUCAAGCAAUUCUCCUGCCUCAG